Molecule: ribosomal RNA, 254 nt
Filed under: uncultured bacterium
Lineage: Bacteria
Description: partial 16S ribosomal RNA
Rfam family: Bacterial small subunit ribosomal RNA
Source: RNAcentral
UACAGAGGUCUCAAGCGUUGUCCGGAAUUAUUGGGCGUAAAGAGCUCGUAGGCGGUGUGUCGCGUCGGCCGUGAAAACUUGGGGCUUAACUCUGAGCGUGCGGUCGAUACGGGCAUCACUUGAGUUCGGCAGGGGAGACUGGAAUUCCUGGUGUAGCGGUGAAAUGCGCAGAUAUCAGGAGGAACACCGGUGGCGAAGGCGGGUCUCUGGGCCGAUACUGACGCUGAGGAGCGAAAGCAUGGGGAGCGAACAGG